CUCCAGUCCUCUACGAAAGUAGAGCUUGUGAGAGCGAAAGCUCGAAACUGGAG
This 53-nucleotide unclassified non-coding RNA is filed under the name synthetic construct. The record is from RNAcentral.